GUCUUGACNUCCUUUGACCNCUCUAGAGAUAGAGCUUUCCCUUCGGGGACAAAGUGACAGGUGGUGCAUGGUUGUCGUCAGCUCGUGUCGUGAGAUGUUGGGUUAAGUCCCGCAACGAGCGCAACCCUUAUUGUUAGUUGCCAUCAUUUAGUUGGGCACUCUAGCAAGACUGCCGGUGACAAACCGGAGGAAGGUGGGGAUGACGUCAAAUCAUCAUGCCCCUUAUGACCUGGGCUACACACGUGCUACAAUGGACGGUACAAUGAGUUGCGAGACCGCGAGGUUUAGCUAAUCUCUUAAAGCCGUUCUCAGUUCGGAUUGUAGGCUGCAACUCGCCUACAUGAAGCCGGAAUCGCUAGUAAUCGUGGAUCAGCAUGCCACGGUGAAUACGUUCCCGGGA
RNAcentral lists this ribosomal RNA (400 nucleotides) under Vagococcus sp. AZTITEMP268. RNAcentral describes it as "bacterial SSU rRNA". It matches the Rfam family "Bacterial small subunit ribosomal RNA", at positions 978 to 1378 of the family's 1533-position model. The record is from RNAcentral. Lineage: Bacteria; Bacillati; Bacillota; Bacilli; Lactobacillales; Enterococcaceae.